RNAcentral lists this small nucleolar RNA (94 nucleotides) under Olea europaea subsp. europaea. RNAcentral's name for it is "Small nucleolar RNA Z159/U59". It matches the Rfam family "Small nucleolar RNA Z159/U59". Rfam says of the family: This family consists of several snoRNA Z159 or U59 sequences which are members of the C/D class of snoRNA which contain the C (UGAUGA) and D (CUGA) box motifs. This family seems to be found exclusively in rice. The record is from Rfam by way of RNAcentral. Lineage: Eukaryota; Viridiplantae; Streptophyta; Magnoliopsida; Lamiales; Oleaceae.
GUCUCUAUGAUGAUGAAUUUGUUUUACAAAUGACCUUUUAUCUCCUGAGAAGUUUUCAGUGCUGAAUAAUUUUGGAGACCUGAACUGAAGAGAC